This 1144-nucleotide ribosomal RNA is filed under the name Escherichia coli. RNAcentral's name for it is "partial 23S ribosomal RNA". It matches the Rfam family "Bacterial large subunit ribosomal RNA", at positions 165 to 1349 of the family's 2925-position model. Lineage: Bacteria; Pseudomonadati; Pseudomonadota; Gammaproteobacteria; Enterobacterales; Enterobacteriaceae. The record is from RNAcentral.
CAUAGGUUAAUGAGGCGAACCGGGGGAACUGAAACAUCUAAGUACCCCGAGGAAAAGAAAUCAACCGAGAUUCCCCCAGUAGCGGCGAGCGAACGGGGAGGAGCCCAGAGCCUGAAUCAGUGUGUGUGUUAGUGGAAGCGUCUGGAAAGGCGCGCGAUACAGGGUGACAGCCCCGUACACAAAAAUGCACAUGCUGUGAGCUCGAUGAGUAGGGCGGGACACGUGGUAUCCUGUCUGAAUAUGGGGGGACCAUCCUCCAAGGCUAAAUACUCCUGACUGACCGAUAGUGAACCAGUACCGUGAGGGAAAGGCGAAAAGAACCCCGGCGAGGGGAGUGAAAAAGAACCUGAAACCGUGUACGUACAAGCAGUGGGAGCCUCUUUAUGGGGUGACUGCGUACCUUUUGUAUAAUGGGUCAGCGACUUAUAUUCUGUAGCAAGGUUAACCGAAUAGGGGAGCCGAAGGGAAACCGAGUCUUAACUGGGCGUUAAGUUGCAGGGUAUAGACCCGAAACCCGGUGAUCUAGCCAUGGGCAGGUUGAAGGUUGGGUAACACUAACUGGAGGACCGAACCGACUAAUGUUGAAAAAUUAGCGGAUGACUUGUGGCUGGGGGUGAAAGGCCAAUCAAACCGGGAGAUAGCUGGUUCUCCCCGAAAGCUAUUUAGGUAGCGCCUCGUGAAUUCAUCUCCGGGGGUAGAGCACUGUUUCGGCAAGGGGGUCAUCCCGACUUACCAACCCGAUGCAAACUGCGAAUACCGGAGAAUGUUAUCACGGGAGACACACGGCGGGUGCUAACGUCCGUCGUGAAGAGGGAAACAACCCAGACCGCCAGCUAAGGUCCCAAAGUCAUGGUUAAGUGGGAAACGAUGUGGGAAGGCCCAGACAGCCAGGAUGUUGGCUUAGAAGCAGCCAUCAUUUAAAGAAAGCGUAAUAGCUCACUGGUCGAGUCGGCCUGCGCGGAAGAUGUAACGGGGCUAAACCAUGCACCGAAGCUGCGGCAGCGACACUAUGUGUUGUUGGGUAGGGGAGCGUUCUGUAAGCCUGCGAAGGUGUACUGUGAGGUAUGCUGGAGGUAUCAGAAGUGCGAAUGCUGACAUAAGUAACGAUAAAGCGGGUGAAAAGCCCGCUCGCCGGAAGACCAAG